UACGUACCGUACGAACGUUAUUCGGAUUCACUGGGCUUAAAGGGUGCGUAGGCGGCGCGGAAAGUUGGAUGUGAAAGCCCUCAGCUCAACUGAGGAAUUGCGUCUGAAACUACCGUGCUCGAGGGAGACAGAGGUGAGCGGAACUUACGGUGGAGCGGUGAAAUGCGUUGAUAUCGUAAGGAACACCGGUGGCGAAAGCGGCUCACUGGGUCUCAUCUGACGCUGAGGCACGAAAGCUAGGGGAGCGAACGGG
This 253-nucleotide ribosomal RNA is filed under the name uncultured bacterium. Its description in RNAcentral is "partial 16S ribosomal RNA". It matches the Rfam family "Bacterial small subunit ribosomal RNA", at positions 524 to 776 of the family's 1533-position model. The record is from RNAcentral.